CCCUUAGAUGUUCUGGGCCGCACGCGCGCUACACUGAUGCAUUCAACGAGCCUAUCCUUGACCGACAGGUCCGGGUAAUCUUUGAAUCUGCAUCGUGACGGGGAUAGAUUAUUGCAAUUAUUAAUCUUCAACGAGGAAUGCCUAGUAGGCGCAAGUCAUCAGCUUGCGUCGAUUACGUCCCUGCCCUUUGUACACACCGCCCGUCGCUCCUACCGAUUGGGUGUGCUGGUGAAAUGUUCGGAUCGGCCGUUUGUCGCGGUUUCCGCGUCAUGUGGCUGAGAAGCUCAUUAAACCCUCCCACCUAGAGGAAGGAGAAGUCGUAACA
This 325-nucleotide ribosomal RNA is filed under the name uncultured eukaryote. RNAcentral describes it as "partial 18S ribosomal RNA". It matches the Rfam family "Eukaryotic small subunit ribosomal RNA", at positions 1470 to 1796 of the family's 1831-position model. The record is from RNAcentral.